Molecule: long non-coding RNA, 426 nt
Filed under: Homo sapiens (human)
Lineage: Eukaryota; Metazoa; Chordata; Mammalia; Primates; Hominidae
Description: non-protein coding lnc-TMEM68-3:1
Source: RNAcentral
AGGAAAUUUAAAGUAUCUUCUCACAAGUAGUUUUAAGAAUGGAUGAUUUACAACAUAACCCUACUAUAGAGGGGCAGGCGAGAAAUGAAGAGGGAAACACGGAUGGAGACAGGAAGACAAGCUGUGUCCCUUUCUUACCUGUCCAUGAAUGACAUGGCUAGAAAACAGCAAGGUUAAUCUGCAUUUAAUGAUCCCAGCAUGCUUUGGGAGGCCGAGGCGGGCGGAUCACUUGAGGUCAGGAGUUCGAGACCAGUCUGGCCAACGUGGUGAAACCCCGUCUCUAUUAAAAAUACAAAAAUUAGCCUGGCAUGAUGGCACAUGCCUGUAAUCCCAGCUACUCGGGAGGCUGAGGCAGGAGCAUCACUUGAACCUAGGAGGCGGAGGUUGCAGUGAGCCAAGAUCAUGCCACUGCACUCCAGCCUGGGU